CAACUGUAAGGACCUUCCUCUCCAACCCUAACCCUACCCCUAGACUUUCUAUUGGAUUAAUACACGUUUUCAAGACCAGAACAUGUGUGGUCAUGUAGCUCUACGGGUUACGCCUGUGAUGUUCAGGACUCAUUCUUGUAUUUUACACUCUCUGAUGUUUUCUUUUCUUCAUGUCUAGUGUGUGAAUCAUUUCUGGUUUGUCUCUUCAGUGUCUCAUGUGGCCCUGCAGCUUCUCCUCCUCCACCUCCUCCUGAAGCCUUCAUCUUCUUCAUCAUCAGCUGCUCAGUGACUCUGUUGGACGUCUCACCGUGUGGCAGCAGCUCAGGAGUUUGCAGUCAACCAAGGCCGACUCAGAAUCACUCCCACCGGGAAGAUCUGUGAAGGAAGGUCCACCCGGCUGGUCCAGAAGCUCCGGUCCAGCAGAGCAGCGUCAGGAUGGAGACGUAACCGGUGUUGAUGUCACCGCCUUGACGAAUAGAAGAAAAGCCUGUAUUUGGGUAUGUAGGACCGGUAGUCCAGAGGUAGUGAUGGUGG
Amphiprion ocellaris (clown anemonefish) is the source of this 534-nucleotide long non-coding RNA. RefSeq lists it as uncharacterized. The transcript is spliced from 3 exons. Lineage: Eukaryota; Metazoa; Chordata; Actinopteri; Pomacentridae. The record is from RefSeq and is a predicted model, not a curated record.